This is a small nuclear RNA of Zalophus californianus (California sea lion), 107 nucleotides long. NCBI's taxonomy places the organism in Eukaryota, Metazoa, Chordata, Mammalia, Carnivora, Otariidae. The record is from Ensembl.
GGGCUCGCUUGGGCAGCACAUAGACUGAAAUCGGAACGAUACAGAGAAGAUGAGCAUGGCCUCUGUGCAAGGAUGACACGCACAUUCGUGAAGAGGUUGCUUCACUA